GCGCGCUCAGUCCGCGGAAAGCGGCUGAACACACGCGAGAAAAGAUCUGCACGCGCCGAUCUAUCGCGCCGUCGUCGAAAAAUCGCGCAGUAAAUCGUGGUGCAGCCCUUGCGUGCGAUAUAUUCAAGGCGACCGCCGUUUGUUCUGUGAUGUGGAUCGUGCCGGAUCGUGGAAAGAGGCUGCGACGUUGAGUGAUCGCCGGACGAUGGAUGGACGAUGACCUCGAUCGAAGAUUGACCUUUCACGAUGUUGGAUCCGGUGCUGGGCAUAUCGUCGGUAUGGUGGCUGGUGAUGUACGCCAGUAUCCUGCUGCUGCUGUCGCCGUUGGUCUUGCUGUUCAUCCUCUUUCUACCGAACUUCCCGAUUCUGCUGUUCAGAAGGAUGUGCUACAUCCCCAUCGAGUCUAUAUGACGAACGAUCCACCGACCCGCGAUCAUCGUGGCCGUGACUCCCUUCGCACAGUAUCGGCGCUUCGACCAAAUGCAAAUCGUAGAAAUUCUAAGCAAAAGUAACCGGAUGCUUCUAAAGUCCUCGUAUUCUGGGACCGUACGAUAAAGAAUACGUUCGUGCCUCGAAGCACCGAUUGCGCGAAGGAGCACGGAAUUUCCGUGCGUCCGGUUUAUCGCAUUAAUCGCAACAGCGAAGAAGAGUAUUAUCUUUUAACACGUACGAAUCCGAAGUUUAUUAUGAAUUUAUUGCGCCGGAUAAUCGAGCGCCAGGGUUUCUUCUUCACCGGCGUCAACGAAGGAAUUAAUCCUUCGUUUGACCCGCGCGAGCGUACGACCGUUUAUGGGUCGUAAACGAGGCUCCGGGUAAUAACACCGGGGCCCCGAACAAUAGGAGCGGCUCGCGAAAGCCCGGGUCUUCUAAAGCGCAAUCAAAAGUACGCUUGUAAAACUUCGAGCUUAACGAUCCCAACGUUAACGGUCGUACGGUCGCUCGUCCCACCUAGUAUGUAAGUUAACCGUAUAAUUAGCGCACGGUCGGUCGAAACGUCGCGACCUCCCUCUACUCUAUUGUAUGCUAAACCAUGUACUCUGGAUUUCCCAAGAAUAUUGUUCGCCGAUUCGCGCGACCGCGGGGUUAUCGGGCCGCGUUUCCCCGAUAAGCUGUCAGCGAUUCGCGACCACUGCCAAGAUUCUGCCACUCCUGCGGCACGCGCGAAUAACCGAAUAAACAAAUGUCUAACGGGUUUUCUUUCCGCGAAACGAUAAAGAUCCGGCCUCGGAGCUCUUCAUCUCGAUCGCCCGCGGCGGCUUUCGUGUUCGCGCGAGCGCGCGCGCGCGCUUUGCUUUGUACAUAAAUAUCUUGUCGCAAUAAAACCGUGAUUGGCGAGACA
Non-coding RNA from Megalopta genalis, 1339 nucleotides. The record is from RefSeq and is a predicted model, not a curated record. Lineage: Eukaryota; Metazoa; Arthropoda; Insecta; Hymenoptera; Halictidae.